Rattus rattus (black rat) is the source of this 826-nucleotide long non-coding RNA. RefSeq lists it as uncharacterized. The transcript has 10 exons. Lineage: Eukaryota; Metazoa; Chordata; Mammalia; Rodentia; Muridae. The record is from RefSeq and is a predicted model, not a curated record.
UUCAUGUGCUUGGUGGUUGGCUUUUAAUAACAAGUUGGUUAUGAUAAAGAACUGCUCUGAUCCCAGCCAGGGAGCUGAAGCCGUCUUCCUAGUAAUCAGUCUUUAAGUCUGUCUCUGUAAUUGUAAUCUUUCAGAAAGCUGAGUUUCUCGUCUGAAGCCAAUUGCUCAGUUUAGCGUUGACCUGGUGAGUCAUGUUACCCAUGACCAUGUAGGCAUUAGUGACACAGCUUAAAUACUAGCCAGGUGUAGGGAUGCCAGUCCACACUGCUCCGAAUCUGUGGCUCCAAGGACCAUUUGAAGCAAAGGACAAGGAAGGAAACUAGACUCGAUCACCUAGUUCUUUACCUCCAGGCUCUCCCUUCAGAAUGAAGCUUUUGCUCCUGGCCUCCCUGCUGAGUGCUGCAGCCGCUCUGCCAAUCCCUCUUGGACAAUCUGGAGGGAGUUCCAGCGAACAGAGAUUUAAUUUGUACCCACCACAAAUCCUGCCGUUCUUUCCUCAGUUUCCCCUUCCGCAGGCUCCUCUGAUCCCGAUUCCUUUUCCUUUCCCUUUUGAUCCUAAUCAGGUUCUGACACCUAACCAACUUCUGGCGUUAAUCACUUCUAUUUUGAACCAACUGCAGGGCUUCCUUGGGAGAUAAUCUUCCCGGCUACAUCUGAAGACGUGCACGAUGGGGCAGCUGUCCAGGUUACCCGCCUUGUUAUCCGCAGCUUGGAAUGGUCUUAACGUCUUGUAGACUCUAUAGAACGUUCUGUGAAACACCAAAUACCACAGGCACAUCUACUAUCUACAGCCAUACGCUCUAAAUAAAAUUCUCACUAAAACUCC